RNAcentral lists this ribosomal RNA (344 nucleotides) under uncultured Glomus. Its description in RNAcentral is "SSU rRNA". It matches the Rfam family "Eukaryotic small subunit ribosomal RNA", at positions 569 to 919 of the family's 1831-position model. The record is from RNAcentral. Lineage: Eukaryota; Fungi; Glomeromycota; Glomeromycetes; Glomerales; Glomeraceae.
AGCAGCCGCGGUAAUUCCAGCUCCAAUAGCGUAUAUUAAAGUUGUUGCAGUUAAAAAGCUCGUAGUUGAAUUUCGGGGUUAGUAGAUUGGUCAUGCCUCUGGUACGCACUGGUCUUACUGAUUCCUCCUUCCUGAUGAACCGUAAUGCCAUUAAUUUGGUGUUGCGGGGAAACUGGACUGUUACUUUGAAAAAUUGAGUGUUUAAAGCAGGCUAACGCUUGAAUACAUUAGCAUGGAAUAAUGAAAUAGGACGUUCGAUCUUAUUUUGUUGGUUUCUAGGAUUGACGUAAUGGUUAAUAGGGAUAGGUUGGGGCAUUAGUAUUCAAUUGUCAGAGGUGAAAUUC